AUUUAUAGAUGAAUCCCAUAAUAAAUCCGCGAGUCAUUAUCGUAUGAAAUCUGAACUAGCAUCAAAUCACAUCUAACUAGUAAAUAAUUUUACUAAAAACAGUUUAAUUCUCAUUGGAAAAGUCUAUGGAUUUCAAAUACCAAAUCGUUUCAAGAAAGAUGAUAUGGCUUCAAAGAUUCAUCAGAAAAUAAUGGAAAUGAAUGAAAUGCCACACCCAGAGAAACUCGUAAAGCCCAAAGACCAGAUAAACAAUAUUCCCUGUUCAUAGGUAGUAAGAAUGCAGAGGCACCCUAGAUCAGACAAUAAUGCUCAACAAGAGACACUUCCUUCAACGUCACGGUCAGGUGAACAAGAGACACUUCCUGCAACGUCACGGUCAGGUGAACAAGAGACACUUUCUUCUACGUUACGGUCAGGUGAACAAGAGACACUUCCUUCAACGUCAGGUGAACAUGAUGAAGAAAAAUUGAAACAAGGUGAACGUAAAUGCUCAAGCCUAAAGAGAGUUUGACUAGAGAAUACUAGAAAAGGAAAUGGUAGGGGAAAGGGGAAGGCAAAGAAAAGUAGACGUCGUACUAAUCCCUAUGAAAGCUGCACCAUCUGCAACAAAGAAUAUACAGAAGGAGAACAGUGGAUACGCUGUGAUACAUAUCAUUUCUGGUUUGAUAGAGAUUGUGCAAAAUUACAGAAUUAUGAACUCUGGCAUCAAUAUUAAUUUGAGGCAGCCAAUUUUGAUUGUCUUCUUUGUCUGUAGUUCAGGAGGAAAUCAGAGCAGUCAUAUACAGUAUCAAAAGGCGGUCAGUUUUGAAAUGAUAUGAAUAUCCCCAGUCCAUGAAGAUGGAGAUCUUGGGCCUGUUCGGAUUAAAGACAUUGUGGAAUGUGAAUGAACCAACUUCUUGAUGGUGAAGAAGAAUAUUCAUAAUGUCUCUUGGAUUGUGCUCCAUCCAUACUGAGGAAAGGUUCAUUGAAACCAAACAUAGCCAGGUCAUUGACUGCUUUCCAGAAAACCAAGUAUAGCUCAGAGGCUGAUGCUCAAGUGGAUGUGAAAUACGUAAAUGGGAAACGGAAUCCUGUGUUACCAAGGAAAAGAAAUUGCAAAAGAUAUGUUGAUAGGCGAACCUCAUUUCUAUGGUGUAUUAGUGUGUCCAUAGCAAUGGACUCUUCAAUAACAUCUUUAAAGCCCAUCAUUUUUAAAUUUCCAUCUUUCUUAGAGAAUUGAAUGUCCUGCUCCAGACUCAUCUCAUCAAUGAGUAGACCACCUUCAUAACCCUCUGAUGAAAUAUUUUUGUUUCUUGCCUCGUUCAACAUCCAGUGGAACAUUUCUUUGUUAAAUUCUAAAGUUCAUAAGUAUUGAUUUUAACUAUGACAUAAAUUAACACUAAGCAAGUACCACUUAUAUAUUUUUACUUUUCAAUAGUGAACAACUGAAUAGUUUCUUGUU
This is a long non-coding RNA of Saccostrea cuccullata (small rock oyster), 1441 nucleotides long. RefSeq lists it as uncharacterized. The record is from RefSeq and is a predicted model, not a curated record. The transcript has 3 exons. Lineage: Eukaryota; Metazoa; Mollusca; Bivalvia; Ostreida; Ostreidae.